RNAcentral lists this ribosomal RNA (497 nucleotides) under uncultured bacterium. Its description in RNAcentral is "partial 16S ribosomal RNA". It matches the Rfam family "Bacterial small subunit ribosomal RNA", at positions 28 to 507 of the family's 1533-position model. The record is from RNAcentral.
GAUGAACGCUGGCGGCGUGCCUAAUACAUGCAAGUCGAGCGAACGGACGAGGAGCUUGCUUCUCUGAUGUUAGCGGCGGACGUGUGAGUAACACGUGGAUAACCUACCUAUAAGACUGGGAUAACUUCGGGAAACCGGAGCUAAUACCGGAUAAUCUUUUGCACCGCAUGGUUCAAAAGUGAAAGACGGUCUUGCUGUCACUUAUAGAUGGAUCCGCGCUGCAUUAGGUAGUUGGUCAGGUAACGGCUUACCAGGGCAACGAUGCAUAUCCGACCUGAGAGGGUGAUCGGCGACACUGGAACGGAGACACGGUCCAGACGACUACGGGAGGCAGCAGUAGGGAAUCGGCCGCAAUGGGCGAAAGCCUGACGGAGCAACGCGGCGUGAGUGAUGAAGGUCUUCGGAUCGUAAAACUCUGUUACUAGUGAUGAACAUAUGUGGAAGUAACUGUGCACAGCUUGACGGUACCUAAUCAGAAAGCCACGGCUAACUACGUG